Molecule: ribosomal RNA, 434 nt
Filed under: uncultured bacterium
Lineage: Bacteria
Description: partial 16S ribosomal RNA
Rfam family: Bacterial small subunit ribosomal RNA
Source: RNAcentral
AGCGAACGCUGGCGGCAGGCCUAACACAUGCAAGUCGAACGAACCUUUCGGGGUUAGUGGCGGACGGGUGAGUAACACGUGGGAACGUGCCUUUAGGUUCGGAAUAACUCAGGGAAACUUGUGCUAAUACCGAAUGUGCCCUUCGGGGGAAAGAUUUAUCGCCUUUAGAGCGGCCCGCGUCUGAUUAGCUAGUUGGUUGAGGUAAUGGCUCACCAAGGCGACGAUCAGUAGCUGGUCUGAGAGGAGGAUCAGCCACAUUGGGACUGAGACACGGCCUAAACUGCUACGGGGGGGUGCAGAAUAGAGUCUUGUGCGAUGAACGAAGGUCUGGCACAGCCGCGCCGGGUGUAUGGUGAUGGUGUUAGGAUACUGAAAUUCUUUGAGCGGAGGCGAUAGUGACGGUACCCGGUGAAGAAGCCCCGGCUAACUACGUG